Molecule: ribosomal RNA, 821 nt
Filed under: uncultured bacterium
Lineage: Bacteria
Description: bacterial SSU rRNA
Rfam family: Bacterial small subunit ribosomal RNA
Source: RNAcentral
AGAGUUUGAUCUUGGCUCAGGACGAACGCUGGCGGCGUGCCUAAUACAUGCAAGUCGAGCGAGCGGAACUAACAGAUUUACUUCGGUAAUGACGUUAGGAAAGCGAGCGGCGGAUGGGUGAGUAACACGUGGGGAACCUGCCCCAUAGUCUGGGAUACCACUUGGAAACAGGUGCUAAUACCGGAUAAGAAAGCAGAUCGCAUGAUCAGCUUUUAAAAGGCGGCGUAAGCUGUCGCUAUGGGAUGGCCCCGCGGUGCAUUAGCUAGUUGGUAAGGUAAAGGCUUACCAAGGCGAUGAUGCAUAGCCGAGUUGAGAGACUGAUCGGCCACAUUGGGACUGAGACACGGCCCAAACUCCUACGGGAGGCAGCAGUAGGGAAUCUUCCACAAUGGACGCAAGUCUGAUGGAGCAACGCCGCGUGAGUGAAGAAGGUUUUCGGAUCGUAAAGCUCUGUUGUUGGUGAAGAAGGAUAGAGGUAGUAACUGGCCUUUAUUUGACGGUAAUCAACCAGAAAGUCACGGCUAACUACGUGCCAGCAGCCGCGGUAAUACGUAGGUGGCAAGCGUUGUCCGGAUUUAUUGGGCGUAAAGCGAGCGCAGGCGGAAGAAUAAGUCUGAUGUGAAAGCCCUCGGCUUAACCGAGGAACUGCAUCGGAAACUGUUUUUCUUGAGUGCAGAAGAGGAGAGUGGAACUCCAUGUGUAGCGGUGGAAUGCGUAGAUAUAUGGAAGAACACCAGUGGCGAAGGCGGCUCUCUGGUCUGCAACUGACGCUGAGGCUCGAAAGCAUGGGUAGCGAACAGGAUUAGAUACCCUGGUAGUCC